This is a long non-coding RNA of Thalassophryne amazonica, 253 nucleotides long. RefSeq lists it as uncharacterized. The record is from RefSeq and is a predicted model, not a curated record. Lineage: Eukaryota; Metazoa; Chordata; Actinopteri; Batrachoidiformes; Batrachoididae. The transcript is spliced from 3 exons.
AUAUAUAUAUAUAGAGAGAGAGAGAGAGAGAGAUAUAACUCACUGUUUGUACAAUAUAAAUACCAUGAAUCUCUCAAUGUGGUUCAGUCCACACAACCACAAUCAUGGGGAAGACUGCUGACUUCACAGUUGUUCAGAAGACAGUCAUUGGCACCCUCCACAAGGAGGAUAAGCAACUGGUCUUUGCUGACAGAGCUGGCUGUUUACAGAGUACUACAAGUAAGUCCCUUCAGUUUCUCCCUUUUUUCACUCA